GUAGGGAAUAUUGGACAAUGGGUGCGAGCCUGAUCCAGCCAUGCCGCGUGCAGGAAGACGGCCUUCUGGGUUGUAAACUGCUUUUGCCAGGGGAUAAAACGGCUCUGCGGAGCUAAUUGAAGGUACCUGGUGAAUAAGCCACGGCUAACUACGUGCCAGCAGCCGCGGUAAUACGUAGGUGGCAAGCGUUGUCCGGAUUUAUUGGGUUUAAAGGGUGCGUAGGUGGUUCCAUAAGUCAGUGGUGAAAUACGGCAGCUUAACUGUCGAGGUGCCAUUGAUACUGCGGAACUUGAGUACAGACGAGGUAGGCGGAAUUGACGGUGUAGCGGUGAAAUGCUUAGAUAUCGUCAAGAACACCGAUAGCGAAGGCAGCUUACUAGACUGUAACUGACACUGAGGCACGAAAGUGUGGGGAUCAAACAGGAUUAGAAACCCGAGUAGUCC
Molecule: ribosomal RNA, 444 nt
Filed under: uncultured bacterium
Lineage: Bacteria
Description: bacterial SSU rRNA
Rfam family: Bacterial small subunit ribosomal RNA
Source: RNAcentral